RNAcentral lists this ribosomal RNA (456 nucleotides) under uncultured Eubacteriales bacterium. RNAcentral's name for it is "bacterial SSU rRNA". It matches the Rfam family "Bacterial small subunit ribosomal RNA", at positions 37 to 507 of the family's 1533-position model. Lineage: Bacteria; Bacillati; Bacillota; Clostridia; Eubacteriales. The record is from RNAcentral.
UGGCGGCACGCUUAACACAUGCAAGUCGAACGGACUUGAGAGGCUUGCUCUCUUAAGUUAGUGGCGGACGGGUGAGUAACACGUGAGCAACCUGCCUUUAACGAGUGGGAGUAACGGUCGGAAACGGACCGCUAAUACCGCAUAACAUACACGAACGCAUGGUUUGUGUAUCAAAGAUUUAUCGCUUAAAGAUGGGCUCGCGUCUGAUUAGCUUGUUGGUGAGGUAACGGCUCACCAAGGCGACGAUCAGUAGCCGUACUGAGAGGUAGAACGGCCACAUUGGGACUGAGACACGGCCCAGACUCCUACGGGAGGCAGCAGUGGGGAAUAUUGCACAAUGGAGGAAACUCUGAUGCAGCGAUGCCGCGUGAGGGAAGAAGGUUUUCGGAUUGUAAACCUCUGUCUUAAGGGACGACAAUGACGGUACCUUAGGAGGAAGCUCCGGCUAACUACGUG